Molecule: transfer RNA, 84 nt
Filed under: Echinostoma caproni
Lineage: Eukaryota; Metazoa; Platyhelminthes; Trematoda; Plagiorchiida; Echinostomatidae
Rfam family: tRNA
About the family: Transfer RNA (tRNA) molecules are approximately 80 nucleotides in length.
Source: Rfam by way of RNAcentral
GGUCUUGUAGCUGAGCAGGCAGAGCGGACGCUGUACAAAAGCGUAGACGGCGUUCAUGUGUGGGUUCGAGUCCCACUGUGACUA